AGAGUUUGAUCCUGGCUCAGAUUGAACGCUGGCGGCAUGCCUUACACAUGCAAGUCGAACGGUAACGCGGGGCAACCUGGCGACGAGUGGCGAACGGGUGAGUAAUGCAUCGGAACGUGCCCAGUAGUGGGGGAUAGCCCGGCGAAAGCCGGAUUAAUACCGCAUACGACCUACGGGUGAAAGGGGGGGAUCGCAAGACCUCUCGCUAUUGGAGCGGCCGAUGUCAGAUUAGGUAGUUGGUGGGGUAAAGGCCUACCAAGCCGACGAUCUGUAGCUGGUCUGAGAGGACGACCAGCCACACUGGGACUGAGACACGGCCCACACUCCUACGGGAGGCAGCAGUGGGGAAUUUUGGACAAUGGGCGCAAGCCUGAUCCAGCCAUGCCGCGUGCGGGAAGAAGGCCUUCGGGUUGUAAACUGCUUUUGUACGGAACGAAAAGGCUCUGGUUAAUACCUGGGGCUCAUGACGGUACCGUAAGAAUAAGCACCGGCUAACUACGUGCCAGCAGCCGCGGUAAUACGUAGGGUGCAAGCGUUAAUCGGAAUUACUGGGCGUAAAGCGUGCGCAGGCGGUUUUGUAAGACAGGCGUGAAAUCGCCGGGCUCAACCUGGGAAUUGCGCUUGUGACUGCAAGGCUGGAGUGCGGCAGAAGGGGGGAUGGAAUUCCGCGUGUAGCAGUGAAAUGCGUAGAUAUAGGAAGGAACACCAGUGGCGAAAGGCGACCACCUGGUACUGAUACUGACACUGAGGUGCGAAAGCGUGGGGAGCAACAGGAUUAGAUACCCUGGUAGUCCACGCCGUAAACGAUGUCAACUAGCCGGUGGGGUUUCCGUAGAAGACUUAGUGCGCAGCUAACGCAUUUAGGUAGGUUAAACUCAGAUGAGUCGACGCGCCAAUAGCGGUGCAGCAUGUGAUUUAUUUACGAAAGCAA
RNAcentral lists this ribosomal RNA (931 nucleotides) under uncultured bacterium. Its description in RNAcentral is "bacterial SSU rRNA". It matches the Rfam family "Bacterial small subunit ribosomal RNA", at positions 8 to 965 of the family's 1533-position model. The record is from RNAcentral.